Non-coding RNA from Myotis daubentonii (Daubenton's bat), 707 nucleotides. Lineage: Eukaryota; Metazoa; Chordata; Mammalia; Chiroptera; Vespertilionidae. The record is from the annotation of a RefSeq genome assembly.
CAGAACCCAAGCGCCUGAGACAGGACCCCAGCGGCUCCACCAUGGACUUGGUGCCAAGCUGCGUUUUCCUCCUGAUCAUUUCUCAAGGUGUCCAGUGUGAGGUGCAGCUGGUGGAGUCUGGGGGAGGCCUGGUGCAGCCUGGGGGGUCUCUGAGACUCUCCUGUGCAGCCUCUGGAUUCACCUUUGAUGAUUAUGGCAUGAGCUGGGUCCGCCAGGCUCCAGGGAAGGGGCUGGAGUGGGUUUCUGCUAUUAGUUGGAAUGGUGGUAGCACAUACUACGCCAAAUCCGUGAAGGGCCGCUUCACCAUCUCCAGAGACAACGCCAAGAACUCGCUGUAUCUGCAAAUGAGCAGCCUGAGAGCCGAGGACACGGCCGUGUAUUACUGUGCAAGACAUGGUUACGCCUGGAACUGGAUCCGUCAGCCCCUGGGGAAGGGGCUGGAGUGGAUAGGGCGCAUAAGGUAUGAUGGAAACACUUACUACAGCCCCUCCCUCAAGAGUCGAACCUCCGUCUCCAGAGACACAUCCGAGAACCAGUUCUCCCUGCAGCUGAGUUCCGUGACCAUUGAGGACACAGCCCAUGACUGCACUCUCCAAGUGGUGGUGGCCUUCCCAGAGGAACAAGUGACCAAAGUCCCAGAUUCCUGUGUCCGUCUGUCCUCACCUAGUGCUGUGGGAGGAUGGACACAGGUGGCUGCUGUCCUCUGA